RNAcentral lists this ribosomal RNA (510 nucleotides) under uncultured bacterium. Its description in RNAcentral is "partial 16S ribosomal RNA". It matches the Rfam family "Bacterial small subunit ribosomal RNA", at positions 28 to 523 of the family's 1533-position model. The record is from RNAcentral.
GACGAACGCUGGCGGCGUGCCUAAUACAUGCAAGUCGAGCGAAUGACGAGAAGCUUGCUUCUCUGAUUUAGCGGCGGACGGGUGAGUAACACGUGGGCAACCUGCCCUACAGAUCGGGAUAACUCAGGGAAACCUGGGCUAAUACCGGAUAAUCCUUCGAAUCACAUGUUUUGAAGUUGAAAGGCGCUUCGGCGUCACUGUAGGAUGGGCCCGCGGUGCAUUAGCUUGUUGGUGGGGUAACGGCCUACCAAGGCAACGAUGCAUAGCCGACCUGAGAGGGUGAUCGGCCACAUUGGGACUGAGACACGGCCCAAACUCCUACGGGAGGCAGCAGUAGGGAAUCUUCCACAAUGGACGAAAGUCUGAUGGAGCAACGCCGCGUGAGUGAUGAAGGUUUUCGGAUCGUAAAACUCUGUUGUAAGGGAAGAACAAGUACGUUAGGAAAUGAACGUACCUUGACGGUACCUUAUUAGAAAGCCACGGCUAACUUCGUGCCAGCCGCCGCGGUAA